This is a long non-coding RNA of Impatiens glandulifera, 235 nucleotides long. RefSeq lists it as uncharacterized. The record is from RefSeq and is a predicted model, not a curated record. The transcript has 2 exons. Lineage: Eukaryota; Viridiplantae; Streptophyta; Magnoliopsida; Ericales; Balsaminaceae.
AAUUUACUCCAGGUCAUGAAUGAUUUAUGCACAUCUAGUGGACCAAUAUGGGUUUUGAAGAACAGUAGCGGAAUUUCCAAAUAGCAAGUCCCAAGUCUAAAUCCAUGGAUAGUUUUAUCUAGGUUAGAUUUUACAAUUAAUGGAGGAUAUAUCGAGAUUCUAGUUUUCUACUUGUACAAAACUUUGGUUGCUUUAGUUUAGGAUUUCUGAAGAAUUGGUCACUUCUUUUAGUAGU